AUUGUAUGGAAGCACACGGCUAGUGGGACCUACUCGGCGGCAUCUGCUUACAAGGCACAAUUCCUAGGGAUGGUUCUCACACCUUUGGAUAAAAUGGUUUGGAAGGCUUGGGCCCCCUCAAAAGUCAAGUUCUUCGCUUGGCUGGCGUUGCAAGACAGAAUUUGGAUCGCCGAUAGAUUGGCCAAACGCGGGUGGCCCAACUGUGAUCUCUGCCCUCUUUGCAAGAGAGUGCAGGAAUGUGGGUCUCAUCUCUUCUUCAAAUGCCGCUACACACGAAGGCUUUGGUCCUUGAUCAUUGACAAAUACCACAUUCACGGUCUU
RNAcentral lists this ribosomal RNA (321 nucleotides) under Triticum aestivum (bread wheat). RNAcentral's name for it is "partial small subunit ribosomal RNA". Lineage: Eukaryota; Viridiplantae; Streptophyta; Magnoliopsida; Poales; Poaceae. The record is from RNAcentral.